RNAcentral lists this ribosomal RNA (1524 nucleotides) under Triticum aestivum (bread wheat). Its description in RNAcentral is "partial small subunit ribosomal RNA". The record is from RNAcentral. Lineage: Eukaryota; Viridiplantae; Streptophyta; Magnoliopsida; Poales; Poaceae.
CUCGUUUCCAUCUUUUCCUCGUCUCUGUUCAGUGAAUUCAUUCGUACAAACCUGAAACCUGAAACCAAGAUCGAGCGGAAGCACGGCACCAAGCAAUGGAGGCGCUGCUGGAGCUAGAGAAGGUGCAGAGAGUGCUCUCCCUCAUGGGCUCCCGCGGCCUCUCCGACUCCGACGGCAGCGGCGGCGGGGACCGCUUCCUCGCCCACUUCCUCCUCUUCCUGGCACAACCGUUUGAUUCACUUGCCAUUGAGAAGAAGGUCGUAUUAAUCUCUGAGCUUUUGAGAGAGGUUAAUUCUGAUAAUCUCAAAGAAGUGCAACGUCUAGCCAGUCUGGAAGGUACUAAUAGGGAAGAUGAACCAACUAAGAAGUUCAAGACGGAUGCCGAGAAAUUAACCAUUCAGGAUGCGCCUAUGAUUGGAUUCGAUGCAAUGAUGAGAGCCAAUUCCACGCUUGAAGAUUUUUGCAGGUCAUACUUCAUAUUUCAUGGUUUGGAUGUUAACAGACCACACUCUGUUUUCAAGUUUCUUCCUUUCCUUUCUUUUACAGAGAGCUACAUAUACCAGUUAGAUGCUUCAAAUGAAGACAGUUUGCUAUUAGUUCCAGACAACAACUCUUCUUCAACAGUAUUGGAAAGGAAAAUACAAGGUUCUAGUCAGAUGUCCUUGUCUGACAUGCUUGACCCCCUUGAUAAUCUUCUUCAAUGCCAGGGGUUAAUGACAGAUCAAUUGCGAAAUGAACUCAAAUCUGGCAUCCAGUAUUGGUCUCUAGAGAGGAAGCUUUGUCAAGCAUUAUCAAGAAAUGAUAAGAUAUCUAUCGAAGAUGUUAUGGAAGCAAUCCAUCUCAAAUCAUUUGACUAUCGAGUUCUUAAUCUGAUGAUGUAUCGGCUUACUGGUCAGCAGGUCAAUGACUUGCACAUGGAGUUCUUGUCUGUCUCGGAAUUUUUAGUUGAGAUAUGUGAUGACCUGUAUGAUUAUGAGGAUGAUGUGGUUAACAAUACUUUUAACAUCCUCCGCAUGUUUGCUGCGAUAUAUGGACCUUUAGAUGCACCAAAGAUGUUGGCCAAGUGCAUCGGUGAAGCUGAGGGAAAAUAUGAGAGCUUCUCAAAGAAAUUGGACCCUAGCAUCUCAAGAAGUUACUGGAGAAGAUGUGAGGAGGCUACAAAGGAAGGUGGAAAAAUAUCAGGCCAUGCGUAUGGCACAUGGAAUAUCCCUCCUUUGAUAGGAGAUGAAGAAUCAUUUCGCUUUGACAGAUUGAACAGAGGUGAUGCUUCUGCCAUGGCCAUCAGAUGACAGAUACCAUGCUCUGAGCAUCUUCAAAAGGAGGCUUAGUUACCAUUGCUAUUAAAUGCCUUGCCAUGUGUGCUUAAUUUCCAUCCACUCCUGCAAGUUCUCUCCCUUUUUUUUUGCGCAUUCCACUCCUGCAAGUUCAAAUAGAGAAAUUAUCUGAGCAUCCUCUGUGUAAGGUGGCGGGGUGUGUUAACAUCUCAUGCAGUUCACUCAAGCAAAUUUCGCAAGAUUUUGCAUA